This 1017-nucleotide ribosomal RNA is filed under the name uncultured organism. RNAcentral describes it as "bacterial SSU rRNA". It matches the Rfam family "Bacterial small subunit ribosomal RNA", at positions 355 to 1375 of the family's 1533-position model. The record is from RNAcentral.
UGAGGAAUAUUGGUCAAUGGACGAGAGUCUGAACCAGCCAAGUAGCGUGAAGGAUGACUGCCCUAUGGGUUGUAAACUUCUUUUAUACGGGAAUAAAGUUAGCCACGUGUGGCUUUUUGUAUGUACCGUAUGAAUAAGGAUCGGCUAACUCCGUGCCAGCAGCCGCGGUAAUACGGAGGAUCCGAGCGUUAUCCGGAUUUAUUGGGUUUAAAGGGAGCGUAGGCGGGUUGUUAAGUCAGUUGUGAAAGUUUGCGGCUCAACCGUAAAAUUGCAGUUGAUACUGGCGACCUUGAGUGCAACAGAGGUAGGCGGAAUUCGUGGUGUAGCGGUGAAAUGCUUAGAUAUCACGAAGAACUCCGAUUGCGAAGGCAGCUUACUGGAUUGUAACUGACGCUGAUGCUCGAAAGUGUGGGUAUCAAACAGGAUUAGAUACCCUGGUAGUCCACACAGUAAACGAUGAAUACUCGCUGUUGGCGAUAUACGGUCAGCGGCCAAGCGAAAGCAUUAAGUAUUCCACCUGGGGAGUACGCCGGCAACGGUGAAACUCAAAGGAAUUGACGGGGGCCCGCACAAGCGGAGGAACAUGUGGUUUAAUUCGAUGAUACGCGAGGAACCUUACCCGGGCUUAAAUUGCAACUGACUGAACCGGAAACGGUUCUUUCUUCGGACAGUUGUGAAGGUGCUGCAUGGUUGUCGUCAGCUCGUGCCGUGAGGUGUCGGCUUAAGUGCCAUAACGAGCGCAACCCUUAUCGAUAGUUACUAACAGGUCAUGCUGAGGACUCUAUUGAGACUGCCGUCGUAAGAUGUGAGGAAGGUGGGGAUGACGUCAAAUCAGCACGGCCCUUACGUCCGGGGCUACACACGUGUUACAAUGGGGGGUACAGAAGGCAGCUACACGGCGACGUGGUGCUAAUCCCGAAAGCCUCUCUCAGUUCGGAUUGGAGUCUGCAACCCGACUCCAUGAAGCUGGAUUCGCUAGUAAUCGCGCAUCAGCCACGGCGCGGUGAAUACGUUCCC